GGAGUUAGCCGGUGCUUCUUCUGUGAGUGAUGUCCUUCCUGCCGGUUAUUGACCCGCAGGCCUUCUUCCUCACUGAAAGUGCUUUACAACCCGAAGGCCUUCUUCACACACGCGGCAUGGCUGGAUCAGGGUUGCCCCCAUUGUCCAAUAUUCCCCACUGCUGCCUCCCGUAGGAGUCUGGGCCGUGUCUCAGUCCCAGUGUGGCUGAUCAUCCUCUCAGACCAGCUACGGAUCGUCGCCUUGGUGAGCCGUUACCUCACCAACCAGCUAAUCCGACAUAGGCUCAUCCGAUAGCGCGAGGCCCGAAGGUCCCCCGCUUUCCCCCGUAGGGCGUAUGCGGUAUUAGCCUGGGUUUCCCCAGGUUAUCCCCCACUACCGGGCAGAUUCCUAUGCAUUACUCACCCGUCCGCCGCUCGCCACCAGGGAGCAAGCUACCCGUGCUGCCGCUCGACUUGCAUGUGUUAGGCCUGCCGCCAGCGUUCAAUCUGAGCCAUGAUCAAACUCUGA
This 507-nucleotide ribosomal RNA is filed under the name uncultured bacterium. RNAcentral describes it as "partial 16S ribosomal RNA". The record is from RNAcentral.